RNAcentral lists this transfer RNA (73 nucleotides) under Felis catus (domestic cat). It matches the Rfam family "tRNA". Rfam says of the family: Transfer RNA (tRNA) molecules are approximately 80 nucleotides in length. Lineage: Eukaryota; Metazoa; Chordata; Mammalia; Carnivora; Felidae. The record is from Rfam by way of RNAcentral.
ACCUGGCUGGCUCAGUCGGUAGAGCAUGUGACUCUUGAUCUCAGGGUCAUGAGUUUGAGCCCCACGUUGGGCA